RNAcentral lists this ribosomal RNA (497 nucleotides) under uncultured bacterium. RNAcentral describes it as "partial 16S ribosomal RNA". It matches the Rfam family "Bacterial small subunit ribosomal RNA", at positions 28 to 507 of the family's 1533-position model. The record is from RNAcentral.
GAUGAACGCUGGCGGCGUGCCUAAUACAUGCAAGUCGAGCGAACGGACGAGAAGCUUGCUUCUCUGAUGUUAGCGGCGGACGGGUGAGUAACACGUGGAUAACCUACCUAUAAGACUGGGAUAACUUCGGGAAACCGGAGCUAAUACCGGAUAAUAUUUUGAACCGCAUGGUUCAAAAGUGAAAGACGGUCUUGCUGUCACUUAUAGAUGGAUCCGCGCUGCAUUAGCUAGUUGGUAAGGUAACGGCUUACCAAGGCAACGAUGCAUAGCCGACCUGAGAGGGUGAUCGGCCACACUGGAACUGAGACACGGUCCAGACUCCUACGGGAGGCAGCAGUAGGGAAUAUUCCGCAAUGGGCGAAAGCCUGACGGAGCAACGCCGCGUGAGUGAUGAAGGUCUUCGGAUCGUAAAACUCUGUUAUUAGGGAAGAACAUAUGUGUAAGUAACUGUGCACAUCUUGACGGUACCUAAUCAGAAAGCCACGGCUAACUACGUG